This 73-nucleotide transfer RNA is filed under the name Canis lupus familiaris (dog). It matches the Rfam family "tRNA". From Rfam's summary of the family: Transfer RNA (tRNA) molecules are approximately 80 nucleotides in length. Their secondary structure includes four short double-helical elements and three loops (D, anti-codon, and T loops). Further hydrogen bonds mediate the characteristic L-shaped molecular structure. tRNAs have two regions of fundamental functional importance: the anti-codon, which is responsible for specific mRNA codon recognition, and the 3' end, to which the tRNAs corresponding amino acid is attached (by aminoacyl-tRNA synthetases). tRNAs cope with the degeneracy of the genetic code in two manners: having more than one tRNA (with a specific anti-codon) for a particular amino acid; and 'wobble' base-pairing, i.e. permitting non-standard base-pairing at the 3rd anti-codon position. Lineage: Eukaryota; Metazoa; Chordata; Mammalia; Carnivora; Canidae. RNAcentral also lists the same sequence under 1 other name. The record is from Rfam by way of RNAcentral.
GCCUGGCUGGCUCAGUCAGUAGAGCACGUGACUCUUGAUCUCAAGGUCAUGAGUUCAAGCCUCACGUUAGGUG